Molecule: ribosomal RNA, 499 nt
Filed under: uncultured bacterium
Lineage: Bacteria
Description: bacterial SSU rRNA
Rfam family: Bacterial small subunit ribosomal RNA
Source: RNAcentral
GAUGAACGCUAGCUACAGGCUUAACACAUGCAAGUCGAGGGGCAGCGGGAUUGAAGCUUGCUUCAAUUGCCGGCGACCGGCGCACGGGUGAGUAACGCGUAUCCAACCUUCCGUACACUCAGGGAUAGCCUUUCGAAAGAAAGAUUAAUACCUGAUGGUAUGAUGAGAUCGCAUGGUAUCAUCAUUAAAGAUUUAUCGGUGUACGAUGGGGAUGCGUUCCAUUAGGUAGUAGGCGGGGUAACGGCCCACCUAGCCUACGAUGGAUAGGGGUUCUGAGAGGAAGGUCCCCCCACAUUGGAACUGAGACACGGUCCAAACUCCUACGGGAGGCAGCAGUGAGGAAUAUUGGUCAAUGGACGAGAGUCUGAACCAGCCAAGUAGCGUGAAGGAUGACUGCCCUAUGGGUUGUAAACUUCUUUUAUACGGGAAUAAAGUGAGGCACGUGUGCCUUUUUGUAUUGUACCGUAUGAAUAAGGAUCGGCUAACUCCGUGCCAGCAG